This 367-nucleotide small RNA is filed under the name Histoplasma ohiense. RNAcentral describes it as "hypothetical lncRNA". The record is from RNAcentral. Lineage: Eukaryota; Fungi; Ascomycota; Eurotiomycetes; Onygenales; Ajellomycetaceae.
AGACAUCAAUGUGGAGGUGCAAGUCUUGUCGAGUCUUUUGUUCAUACAACCAGCAAUAUGAUCACUUAAACUUGUUUGAGAAACAGUAUAUAGAAAAGCAGCUCUUAUCUGAGUUAAUCCUUGAUUUUUGACAGCGAAAGCAGCGAAAAUAUGUUUAUUUUCACUCAUUCUUACUCUUGUUGUAUGAAUACAAGAAGUUAAACUCUGAGUAAUUAAUUUAAUUGACAGCUUUGAAGUGGACUAUAUCAUGCGAUCAGGCUAAUCAUGUCGUGAACCACUUACCACAUCAUCUGCUCUUGCUUGGAAUUAUUCAAUCUAAAAGAGGGAUGGCAUUGUGUCGGAGAUAAUAUCUCGUAAUAUAUUGUAU